UACGAAGGGGGCUAGCGUUGUUCGGAAUUACUGGGCGUAAAGCGCGCGCAGGCGGUUCUUCAAGUCAGAGGUGAAAGCCCAGAGCUCAACUCUGGAAUGGCCUUUGAGACUAGAGAACUUGGGUACGGGAGAGGUGAGUGGAAUUCCGAGUGUAGAGGUGAAAUUCGUAGAUAUUGGGAAGAACACCGGUGGCGAAGGCGGCGAGCUGGUCCAUUACUGACGCUGAGGCGCGACAGCGUGGGGAGCAAACAGG
This 253-nucleotide ribosomal RNA is filed under the name uncultured bacterium. Its description in RNAcentral is "partial 16S ribosomal RNA". It matches the Rfam family "Bacterial small subunit ribosomal RNA", at positions 524 to 776 of the family's 1533-position model. The record is from RNAcentral.